RNAcentral lists this ribosomal RNA (545 nucleotides) under Triatoma sanguisuga (bloodsucking conenose). RNAcentral describes it as "partial large subunit ribosomal RNA". It matches the Rfam family "Bacterial large subunit ribosomal RNA", at positions 1808 to 2622 of the family's 2925-position model. Lineage: Eukaryota; Metazoa; Arthropoda; Insecta; Hemiptera; Reduviidae. The record is from RNAcentral.
CAAAAACAUGUCCUUUUGUUUAUUUAUUUAAGGUCUGACCUGCCCAAUGAGGAAUUCAAUGGCCGCAGUAUUUUAACUGUGCUAAGGUAGCAUAAUCAUUUGUCUUUUAAUUGAGGGCUGGAAUGAAAGGUUGGACGAGAUAUUGACUUUCUUUAGUUUAAUUUUAAGAAUUUAAUUUUUGAGUUAAAAAGCUUAAAUUUAUUUGUUGGACGAGAAGACCCUAUAGAUCUUUAUAAUUUUAUAUUUUGAUAAUUUAGUGUGUAUGUUUAUUUUAAGUAAAAGAAUUAUUUGGUUGGGGUGACUGUAGAAUUUCAGUAACUUCUAUUGUAUUUAUUUCAUUGAUUGGUGUAUUUUUGAUCCAUAUUUUUAUGAUUAAAAGAUUAAGUUACCUUAGGGAUAACAGCGUAAUUUUUUCGGAGAGUUCAUAUUGAUGAAAGAGUUUGCGACCUCGAUGUUGGAUUAAAAUAAGUUAUAGGACGCAGGAGUCUAUAAACUAGGUCUGUUCGACCUUUAAAUUUUUACAUGAUCUGAGUUCAAACCGGAGA